AUUGAACGCUGGCGGCAUGCUUUACACAUACAAGUCGAACGGUAACAGGUCUUCGGAUGCUGACGAGUGGCGAACGGGUGAGUAAUGUAUCGGAACGUGCCCAGUAGUGGGGGAUAACGUACUCGAAAGAGUGGCUAAUACCGCAUGAGAACUGAGGUUGAAAGCGGGGGACCUUCGGGCCUCGCGCUACUGGAGCGGCCGAUAUCAGAUUAGGUAGUUGGUGGGGUAAAGGCCUACCAAGCCGACGAUCUGUAGCUGGUCUGGAGAGGACGACCAGCCACACUGGGACUGAGACACGGCCCAGACUCCUACGGGAGGCAGCAGUGGGAAUUUGGAACU
This 339-nucleotide ribosomal RNA is filed under the name uncultured bacterium. RNAcentral describes it as "bacterial SSU rRNA". It matches the Rfam family "Bacterial small subunit ribosomal RNA", at positions 30 to 370 of the family's 1533-position model. The record is from RNAcentral.